This 600-nucleotide long non-coding RNA is filed under the name Ananas comosus (pineapple). Its description in RNAcentral is "long non-coding RNA (ACOM_LNC027487)". The record is from RNAcentral. Lineage: Eukaryota; Viridiplantae; Streptophyta; Magnoliopsida; Poales; Bromeliaceae.
UGGAGAGAGAUGCGAAGGUCCGAGGAAUGUUGGGGAAAGCCAUUUAUACACUACAACAAAAACGGUCUAUAGCGACACUUUUAAAUGUAGGUACAUGUCAAAAAAGUGCUGCUAGCUAAAAUUACCGACACUUUUAAAAAGUGCUGCUAUAUGUGGGGUCGCUAGGUAUAUAGUGACAGUUAAAGAGUGUCGCUAUAACCUAAAAGAGUGCUGCUAAUUUACGAACACUUAUUUAAGCAUUUAGCAACCGCCAAAACUUUAUCUCAUUGGCUGCGGUGGCGGAGGAGGACGACAGGAAAGGCUCUUCGUCUAGAAUUUCAGUGGAUUGAGUAAAGAGAGAAGAAAAGAUGGCAAUUGAUUUUUCUUUUUUUUUUUCUUUUCUGUUUGUAAUCGGGCCAAAUGGACUGGGUGUGGUGGGUUGAGUAGAGUAAUCUUUUAUUUUUGGUUGGAUUUGGCUUUAUAUUUAGGCAUUAGUAGAUAUUUUUUUAAGUUUUAACAUAAAUGGGACACUUACUCAAAAGUGUCCCAAACAUGUGUCCCUAUAACCUAAUUCUGUUGUAGUGAUAGUGUAUGCUUUACAAAUGGAGUUCACCAAUUAGU